UUGUUGGUAAGGUAAAGGCUUACCAAGGCUUCGAUCAGUAGCUGGUCUGAGAGGACGGCCAGCCACACUGGGACUGAGACACGGCCCAGACUCCUACGGGAGGCAGCAGUGGGGAAUUUUGGACAAUGGGGGAAACCCUGAUCCAGCCAUGCCGCGUGAGUGAAGAAGGCCUUCGGGUUGUAAAGCUCUUUCAGCCGGAACGAAACGGUUACGGAUAAUACCCGUGACUACUGACGGUACCGGAAGAAGAAGCACSGGCUAACUACGUGCCAGCAGCCGCGGUAAUACGUAGGGUGCGAGCGUUAAUCGGAAUUACUGGGCGUAAAGCGUGCGCAGGUGGUUUUGUAAGUCAGAUGUGAAAGCCCCGGGCUCAACCUGGGAACUGCGUUUGAAACUACAAGACUAGAGUGUGGCAGAGGGGGGUGGAAUUCCGCGUGUAGCAGUGAAAUGCGUAGAGAUGUGGAGGAACACCGAUGGCGAAGGCAGCCCCCUGGGUUAACACUGACACUCAGGCACGAAAGCAUGGGGAGCAAACAGGAUUAGAUACCCUGGUAGUCCAUGCCCUAAACGAUGUCAACUAGUUGUCGGGCCUUUACGGGCUUGGUAACGUAGCUAACGCGUGAAGUUGACCGCCUGGGGAGUACGAUCGCAAGAUUAAAACUCAAAUGAAUUGACYGGGACCCGCACAAGCGGUGGAUUAUGUGGAUUAAUUCGAUGCAACGCGAAAAACCUUACCUACCCUUGACAUGUAUCGAAGCCCGCAGAAAAGCGGGGGUGCUCGAAAGGGAACGAUAACACAGGUGCUGCAUGGCUGUCGUCAGCUCGUGUCGUGAGAUGUUGGGUUAAGUCCCGCAACGAGCGCAACCCUUGUCAUUAAUUGCCAUCAUUUAGUUGGGCACUUUAAUGAGACUGCCGG
RNAcentral lists this ribosomal RNA (916 nucleotides) under uncultured bacterium. RNAcentral's name for it is "bacterial SSU rRNA". It matches the Rfam family "Bacterial small subunit ribosomal RNA", at positions 246 to 1155 of the family's 1533-position model. The record is from RNAcentral.